AUACGGAGGAUCCGAGCGUUACCCGGAUUUAUUGGGUUUAAAGGGUGCGCAGGCGGCCAUUUAAGUCAGCGGUUAAAUCGUGGGGCUCAACCCCAUUCUGCCGUUGAUACUGGGUGGCUUGAUUGCGGUCGAGGUUGGCGGAAUUCGUUGUGUAGCGGGGAAAUGCAUAGAUAUGACGAAGAACACCGAUUGCGUAGGCAGCUGACCAGACCGCAAAUGACGCUCAUGCACGAAAGUGCGGGGAUCGAACAGGAUUAGAUACCCUGGUAGUCCGCACAGUAAACGAUGAAUACUUGUUUUCGGCGAUAUAAUGUCGGAGGCAAAGCGAAAGCGAUAAGUAUUCCACCUGGGGAGUACGCCGGCAACGGUGAAACUCAAAUGAAUUGACGGGG
RNAcentral lists this ribosomal RNA (392 nucleotides) under uncultured bacterium. RNAcentral describes it as "partial 16S ribosomal RNA". It matches the Rfam family "Bacterial small subunit ribosomal RNA", at positions 523 to 918 of the family's 1533-position model. The record is from RNAcentral.